CACCCGAAGCCGGUGGCCUAACCCUUGUGGAGGGAGCCGUCGAAGGUGGGAUUGGCGAUUGGGACGAAGUCGUAACAAGGUAGCCGUACCGGAAGGUGCGGCUGGAUCACCUCCUUUCUAAGGAG
This 125-nucleotide ribosomal RNA is filed under the name Nocardia nova. Its description in RNAcentral is "partial 16S ribosomal RNA". It matches the Rfam family "Bacterial small subunit ribosomal RNA", at positions 1418 to 1533 of the family's 1533-position model. Lineage: Bacteria; Bacillati; Actinomycetota; Actinomycetes; Mycobacteriales; Nocardiaceae. The record is from RNAcentral.